CCUACGGGAGGCAGCAGUAAGGAAUAUUGGACAAUGGUCGGAAGACUGAUCCAGCCAUGCCGCGUGAAGGAAGAAGGCGCUCAGCGUUGUAAACUUCUUUUGGAUGGGAAUAAUAACCUCUACGCGAUAGGGGCUUGAAGGUACCAUCAGAAUAAGCACCGGCUAACUCCGUGCCAGCAGCCGCGGUAAUACGGAGGGUGCGAGCGUUAUCCGGAAUCACUGGGUUUAAAGGGUGCGUAGGCGGCCUUAUAAGUCAGUUGUGAAAUAUCCUCGCUUAACGAGGGGACUGCGAUUGAUACUGUAGGGCUUGAAUUGGGUUGAGGCAGGCGGAAUGUGGCAUGUAGCGGUGAAAUGCAUAGAUAUGCCAUAGAACACCAAUUGCGAAGGCAGCUUGCUGGACCUUGAUUGACGCUGAGGCACGAAAGCGUGGGGAGCAAACAGGAUUAGAUACCCUUGUAGUC
Molecule: ribosomal RNA, 461 nt
Filed under: Weissella confusa
Lineage: Bacteria; Bacillati; Bacillota; Bacilli; Lactobacillales; Lactobacillaceae
Description: bacterial SSU rRNA
Rfam family: Bacterial small subunit ribosomal RNA
Source: RNAcentral